This 29-nucleotide transfer RNA is filed under the name Uma inornata. Its description in RNAcentral is "partial tRNA-Thr". Lineage: Eukaryota; Metazoa; Chordata; Lepidosauria; Squamata; Phrynosomatidae. RNAcentral also lists the same sequence under 1 other name. The record is from RNAcentral.
GCUUCUGUAGCUUAAACAAUAAAGCAUUG